Molecule: ribosomal RNA, 496 nt
Filed under: uncultured bacterium
Lineage: Bacteria
Description: partial 16S ribosomal RNA
Rfam family: Bacterial small subunit ribosomal RNA
Source: RNAcentral
GAUGAACGCUGGCGGCGUGCCUAAUACAUGCAAGUCGAGCGAACAGACGAGGAGCUUGCUCCUCUGACGUUAGCGGCGGACGGGUGAGUAACACGUGGAUAACCUACCUAUAAGACUGGGAUAACUUCGGGAAACCGGAGCUAAUACCGGAUAAUAUAUUGAACCGCAUGGUUCAAUAGUGAAAGACGGUUUUGCUGUCACUUAUAGAUGGAUCCGCGCCGCAGUAGCUAGUUGGUAAGGUAACGGCUUACCAAGGCAACGAUGCGUAGCCGACCGGAGAGGGUGAUCGGCCCCGCUGGACCUGAGACCCGGUCCAGACUCCUACGGGAGGCAGCAGUAGGGAAUCUUCCGCAAUGGGCGAAAGCCUGACGGAGCAACGCCGCGUGAGUGAUGAAGGUCUUCGGAUCGUAAAACUCUGUUAUUAGGGAAGAACAAAUGUGUAAGUAACUAUGCACGUCUUGACGGUACCUAAUCAGAAAGCCCCGGCUAACUACGU